AGUGAACGCUGGCGGUAGGCCUAACACAUGCAAGUCGAACGGCAGCACAGUAAGAGCUUGCUCUUACGGGUGGCGAGUGGCGGACGGGUGAGGAAUACAUCGGAAUCUACUUUUUCGCGGGGGAUAACGUAGGGAAACUUACGCUAAUACCGCAUACGACCUACGGGUGAAAGCAGGGGAUCUUCGGACCUUGCGCGAUUGAAUGAGCCGAUGUCGGAUUAGCUAGUUGGCGGGGUAAAGGCCCACCAAGGCGACGAUCCGUAGCUGGUCUGAGAGGAUGAUCAGCCACACUGGAACUGAGACACGGUCCAGACUCCUACGGGAGGCAGCAGUGGGGAAUAUUGGACAAUGGGCGCAAGCCUGAUCCAGCCAUCCCGCGUGGGUGAAGAAGGCCUUCGGGUUGUAAAGCCCUUUUGUUGGGAAAGAAAAGCAGCAGGUUAAUACCCCGCUGUUCUGACGGUACCCAAAGAAUAAGCACCGGCUAACUUCGUG
RNAcentral lists this ribosomal RNA (492 nucleotides) under uncultured bacterium. Its description in RNAcentral is "partial 16S ribosomal RNA". It matches the Rfam family "Bacterial small subunit ribosomal RNA", at positions 29 to 507 of the family's 1533-position model. The record is from RNAcentral.